ACUGAAAGCCAUCCAAUAGGUAUAUAUAUAUAAGAUUAAUUUUUUAAGCUACUUCCAACUGUCCACGUUGCUUUUGGGUCAAGCCUUUGAACAUUGUUGUUGGUAAUCAAUUCAGCAUUUGACCGAGGCCUGUGAAAUUAUAUUCAAUGUUUAUAUCAAAACUCGGGAUUUAUUGGGUAUCAAAACGCAACACAAAUGUUGGUAUAUCAACUCUAACAUAAAUACGUACGUGUGCGAACUUUAUCAAGUUUGUCAAAGCUUGCCUAGCAAUCAUUGUUCACUCUUAGCACAAUGAACUGUCACCCUAUAAUUUUUCUAGGGUAGGGGAUAAAGGGUAUAUCUGCCAGACCAUCAAGAUCUAAUCACCAUAUAUGUUCAUAAAAUAAACAUGAGUUCUUUUUUCUAAUUUCAGCUUCAAUUCUUGCUUCCUCGAAACUUAUAGCGGUCUCUUUUACUUCUCUAAGAUACUUUUGUUUCUUUCACAGUCUUUCUGGCAACAAAGGCUUGUGUGGUGUACCAUCUUUGCCUGAUUGUCCACUAUUUUGGGGGAAAAAUGGCUUAUCUACUGGUGGCAAAGUUGCUAUCGGUCUUGCCUGUCUAUUUUUAUUAUCGGUGCUGCUGCUUGGGAUGUACUAUUGUUGUGUGUGGAGGAGGCGCAAUGACUAUGACUUUGGUCUACCUCAUGAACUAAUGUCUCUUGCUGCAAAGAGAAACAGAUAUCACAGGCAGAAAUCCUUGAUGACCCUUGAAAUGGAGAGUCAACACGCCAAAGGAUUUAUGCCAACUUACGGUUCAAAUUAAUUAGCAUUUUCUAGUAAAGGAGAACAAAAAUUUUGUUAGGGAUCAGCUCACCAAGACGUUGUAGAUAAGAACGUUGACUGUAUUGAUACGACGUGCACAGAAUACUGUGUUAAAGAGUAGCACCAUGGCUUGAGAGAAGAUAUGCCCUUCCUGGGAAUUUGGCUCCAAUCAAUUGUACGAGGAUGGUGGGGUCAUGGAAAACCAGUGUAUCUGUAGAGAAAAAUGAAUCUCAGUGUAUACAUGGAUAAAAGAACAUAAGCAAAUUUCCCUUGUAUUACUACCAGUUUUUUUCUUUUUAUACUUCUAGAUAAAUUCGAUUGAUGCUCAUAAUUGUGGUUGAGAUUCUAGACGGACCCAAAUUUGGAAUUGUUCUGGUGUCAAUAGUGUCACCAGGUACUCUUAUUCGGAUUUUAUAUCUAAACAGUUUUACAAUUGCA
Molecule: long non-coding RNA, 1238 nt
Organism: Olea europaea var. sylvestris
Lineage: Eukaryota; Viridiplantae; Streptophyta; Magnoliopsida; Lamiales; Oleaceae
Exons: 2
Source: RefSeq, a predicted model, not a curated record